Non-coding RNA from Bombyx mori (domestic silkworm), 85 nucleotides. NCBI's taxonomy places the organism in Eukaryota, Metazoa, Arthropoda, Insecta, Lepidoptera, Bombycidae. The record is from Rfam.
UUAACUCAAAUUUUUAUGGAAUUGGAACGUUUGCUUAUGUUUGCUGGUAGGGGGCGCUGUUCCAACUGCAUACAAAUUUGAGUUA